UUGGAGGACUCUAGGCGGAACUGCCGGGUGAACGUAACCGGAGGAAGUGGGGAUGACGUCAAGUCAUCAUGGCCCCUUAUGUCCAGGGCUACACACGUGCUACAAUGGGCGGUACAAAGGGUCGCGAACCCGCGAGGGGGAGCCAAUCCCAAAAAGCCGCUCUCAGUUCGGAUUGCAGGCUGCAACUCGCCUGCAUGAAGCCGGAAUCGCUAGUAAUCGCGGAUCAGCAUGCCGCGGUGAAUACGUUCCCGGGCCUU
This 257-nucleotide ribosomal RNA is filed under the name uncultured Anoxybacillus sp. RNAcentral describes it as "partial 16S ribosomal RNA". It matches the Rfam family "Bacterial small subunit ribosomal RNA", at positions 1130 to 1382 of the family's 1533-position model. Lineage: Bacteria; Bacillati; Bacillota; Bacilli; Caryophanales; Anoxybacillaceae. The record is from RNAcentral.